AGACUGAGGGGACAAGCCAAAGAGGAGAGGAGGUGAAGGAGGGAAGAUUUUAGCGUAGAAAAAACCUUUGACCUAAAGCCCGAAGCUACUCUAACCGCCGAAUUCUGGAUGUCUAUUCGGUUAGACGGAUCAGUAGUCCAAGAGAAUCUGUCCAGCGGUAGAAUGGAUUUCUUUCUACCCAGCCUAUUAUUUUACCUUUUCUUCUGCCUGUUCCAGCUCCUUGCUGUUGGCAUUUAAACGUCCUCAAGUUCUCUUCUACUUAAAAUAAUCCUUCUCCUGCACUGUUCUUCCUCUGCUAAUGUCUUUAUAAUCAAACUUCUUUAAAGAGCGCGGUCCGUUUUCUACUUCUACUUCGCAUCCGCUGGCUUUGCCUUUAUCAUUCUCUGCCUCUCUCGCCAAGAUCACCAAUUUCCAAUGUGUCACCAAAACUAAUGCCUAGUUUUCGUUUUUCUUGACCUCUGCAUCGCUGGACACUUGCUGACUCGUCCCUCCCUUUGGAAAUGCUUGUUUCUCAGCCUCAACAAAAGUCUCACUCUCGUUUGGGUCUUUUGCUUAUCUUUGUUCAGUCUCUGCUGCUUGUUCUACUUCCAUGUCUUAAAAUGUUGAUAUUCCUCGAAGCUGGGUCCUAGGAUCUUCAUCUCUUCCCGUUCUGCACUUUCUCCCAGGGAUUGGAAUGAAAACUGACUUUUUCCAGUCCUGUGACCACUGCUGAGUUUUCCAAAUUUGCUGGCAUAUUGAGUGCAGCACUUUCACAGCAUCAUCUUCCAGGAUUUGAAAUAGCUCAACUGGAAUUCCAUCACCUCCACUAGCUUUGUUUAUAUUGAUGCUUCCUAAGGCCCACUUGACUUCACAUUCCAGGAUGUCUGGCUGUAGCUGAAAUCACGAUUGCUGGGAGAAAUAUCAAUAACCUCAGAUAUGCAGAUGACACCACCCUUAUGGCAAAGCAAAGAAGAACUAAAGAACCUCUUGAUGAAGUGAAAGAGGAGAGUGAAAAAGUUGGCUUAAAGCUUAACAUUCAGAAAACUAGGAUCAUGGCAUCUGGUCCCAUCACUUUCAUGGCAAAUAGAUGGGGAAACAAUGAAAACAGUGUCAGACUUUAUUUUGGGGGGCUCCAAAGUCACUGCAGAAGGUGACUGCAGCCA
Bos taurus (domestic cattle) is the source of this 1142-nucleotide long non-coding RNA. NCBI's taxonomy places the organism in Eukaryota, Metazoa, Chordata, Mammalia, Artiodactyla, Bovidae. The record is from Ensembl.